UUGUUGGUAAGGUAAAGGCUUACCAAGGCUUCGAUCAGUAGCUGGUCUGAGAGGACGGCCAGCCACACUGGGACUGAGACACGGCCCAGACUCCUACGGGAGGCAGUAGUGGGGAAUUUUGGACAAUGGGGGAAACCCUGAUCCAGCCAUGCCGCGUGAGUGAAGAAGGCCUUCGGGUUGUAAAGCUCUUUCAGCCGGAACGAAACGGUUACGGAUAAUACCCGUGACUACUGACGGUACCGGAAGAAGAAGCACCGGCUAACUACGUGCCAGCAGCCGCGGUAAUACGUAGGGUGCGAGCGUUAAUCGGAAUUACUGGGCGUAAAGCGUGCGCAGGUGGUUUUGUAAGUCAGAUGUGAAAGCCCCGGGCUCAACCUGGGAACUGCGUUUGAAACUACAAGACUAGAGUGUGGCAGAGGGGGGUGGAAUUCCGCGUGUAGCAGUGAAAUGCGUAGAGAUGUGGAGGAACACCGAUGGCGAAGGCAGCCCCCUGGGUUAACACUGACACUCAGGCACGAAAGCAUGGGGAGCAAACAGGAUUAGAUACCCUGGUAGUCCAUGCCCUAAACGAUGUCAACUAGUUGUCGGGCCUUUACGGGCUUGGUAACGUAGCUAACGCGUGAAGUUGACCGCCUGGGGAGUACGAUCGCAAGAUUAAAACUCAAAUGAAUUGACGGGGACCCGCACAAGCGGUGGAUUAUGUGGAUUAAUUCGAUGCAACGCGAAAAACCUUACCUACCCUUGACAUGUAUCGAAGCCCGCAGAAAAGCGGGGGUGCCCGAAAGGGAACGAUAACACAGGUGCUGCAUGGCUGUCGUCAGCUCGUGUCGUGAGAUGUUGGGUUAAGUCCCGCAACGAGCGCAACCCUUGUCAUUAAUUGCCAUCAUUUAGUUGGGCACGUUAAUGAGACUGCCGG
RNAcentral lists this ribosomal RNA (916 nucleotides) under uncultured bacterium. Its description in RNAcentral is "bacterial SSU rRNA". It matches the Rfam family "Bacterial small subunit ribosomal RNA", at positions 246 to 1155 of the family's 1533-position model. The record is from RNAcentral.